GACGUAGGGCGCGAGCGUUGUCCGGAUUUAUUGGGCGUAAAGAGCGCGUAGGCGGCCCGUUAAGUCGGAUGUGAAAACCCGUGGCUCAACCACGGGCCUGCAUCCGAUACUGGCGGGCUCGAGGCAGGCAGGGGAGAUCGGAAUUCCUGGUGUAGCGGUGAAAUGCGCAGAUAUCAGGAGGAACACCGGUGGCGAAGGCGGAUCUCUGGGCCUGUCCUGACGCUCAGGCGCGAAAGCUAGGGGAGCAAACAGG
Molecule: ribosomal RNA, 253 nt
Filed under: uncultured bacterium
Lineage: Bacteria
Description: partial 16S ribosomal RNA
Rfam family: Bacterial small subunit ribosomal RNA
Source: RNAcentral